This 297-nucleotide ribosomal RNA is filed under the name uncultured bacterium. RNAcentral's name for it is "partial 16S ribosomal RNA". It matches the Rfam family "Bacterial small subunit ribosomal RNA", at positions 789 to 1084 of the family's 1533-position model. The record is from RNAcentral.
GGUAGUCCACGCCGUAAACGAUGAGUACUAGGUGUAGGCGGUAUCGACCCCGUCUGUGCCGAAGCUAACGCGAUAAGUACUCCGCCUGGGGACUACGGCCGCAAGGUUAAAACUCAAAGGAAUUGACGGGGGCCCGCACAAGCAGCGGAGCGUGUGGUUUAAUUCGAUGCUACGCGAAAAACCUCACCCAGGCUUGAAAUGCACGUGGUAGGGAAGGGAAACCGGACCGACCCCUCGGGAGCGUGCACAGGUGUUGCACGGCCGUCGUCAGCUCGUGCCGUGAGGUGUUGGGUUAAG